GCCGGUGUGAUGGAAUUGGCAGACGUGUUGGACUCAAAAUCCAAUGGUGGCAACACCGUGCGGGUUCGACCCCCGCCACCGGCACCA
Molecule: transfer RNA, 87 nt
Filed under: Clostridiales bacterium
Lineage: Bacteria; Bacillati; Bacillota; Clostridia; Eubacteriales
Description: tRNA-Leu
Rfam family: tRNA
About the family: Transfer RNA (tRNA) molecules are approximately 80 nucleotides in length. Their secondary structure includes four short double-helical elements and three loops (D, anti-codon, and T loops).
Source: RNAcentral